This 292-nucleotide ribosomal RNA is filed under the name uncultured bacterium. Its description in RNAcentral is "partial 16S ribosomal RNA". It matches the Rfam family "Bacterial small subunit ribosomal RNA", at positions 505 to 796 of the family's 1533-position model. The record is from RNAcentral.
GUGCCAGCAGCCGCGGUAAUACGUAGGGUGCAAGCGUUAAUCGGAAUUACUGGGCGUAAAGCGUGCGCAGGCGGUUGUGCAAGACAGGUGUGAAAUCCCCGGGCUUAACCUGGGAACUGCACUUGUGACUGCACGGCUGGAGUACGGCAGAGGGGGAUGGAAUUCCGCGUGUAGCAGUGAAAUGCGUAGAUAUGCGGAGGAACACCGAUGGCGAAGGCAGUCCCCUGGGCCUGUACUGACGCUCAUGCACGAAAGCGUGGGGAGCAAACAGGAUUAGAAACCCCCGUAGUCC